UUUCAUCAGCAAAACGUUAUGCACUAAUUGUGUUUGGUUUUCGUGGUAUAGGCUAGGUGAUGAAGAUCAAUGAAUCAGAAAAUGUUUUGCAUGGGUGGUGAAUGUUCUGACAGUUUUAACAGUUGUGAUGUGGUGUAUUUCACUUCCACGCAUCAUGGUGUUUUUAUCUAUCAGUUGAAUUGUAUGGUUAAUUUUCUGUUCGUGUAACCUCAUUUCCUCUUGAAUCAUAUAGUAGAAAUUGGUGACCUGAAACAAUGAACAUGGAAAAAUCACCUGUGCCAACGUUGACGAUGUUUGAUUGAUGAAGUGCUGGAAACUAAAAUUAAUUUUCUUUACAAUUUGGUUUCAGGCUAUCUUUAUAAUUUUUUAUUAGUUUUGCGUUUGUUUAGAGUCCGCAAGCUCGUAGCUGAUUUCCUCCUUUAGAUACCGCCUGUCGACGGUUUGACAGCCUCACACAAUUGAACGUAUGCCAAAAAGCCAAAGUGAGCUCUUCCGAUCAGAAAAGUGACGGCGUAUCCAUUUAAUUGAAAAUAGGCACAAGAUAACGCACAAUUGGCGUUCUUGCCUCAAUGGAGAAAUUUUUCCGUGGAACUUAUGACCGAAAUACCAUUGCAGCUGUUCAAAAAAAAAGAAAAGUGUAUUAUCAUGCAGAUGUUGACUAGCUAACAAUCCAGAGAUACGUCAACUUGCGAAAUUUCUAGAUGUGUGUGAAGCGCAAUCAGCAUCCUUGUUGAACUGUGAACCCAAAUCAUGUAUUUUCCUAGAAAUAUCUAGGUUUUUGGAUAAAUAAAUAAAAGUCAGUGAAAAAAUGUGA
Long non-coding RNA from Daphnia carinata, 814 nucleotides. RefSeq lists it as uncharacterized. NCBI's taxonomy places the organism in Eukaryota, Metazoa, Arthropoda, Branchiopoda, Diplostraca, Daphniidae. The record is from RefSeq and is a predicted model, not a curated record. The transcript has 2 exons.